ACUGUGAACAGGGUCUGGGCAUAAGAGGACAGUCACAUCUCUGAUGGGACCAUAGAUACGUCAAAAUGACUUCUGCAGGCAGGGCCCAGGCAAAAGAAUCAGCCAAUUAGCUCAGCAAACUUGGAUUCAAUCAAACAGUUAUCUAAAUAGCGACUGCAGAUUCAUCAAGUCAGGCCCAAAAUAGUAGACGUGACAGCACAUUCCUACACUGAGAAGGCUUCCCCCUGGCAGCAGCAGGCCUCCCAUAGACUCCAGAGUUGCCAAAUCGCUCCAUCAGAUAGAUCCUGCCAGCUUCCCUUUGGCCUACGUGGGGAGACAGAUUCCUGGUGCUUCCUGCUCUGCCACCUCCCCUGAUUUCUCUCCGAAUGUGUUGUCACACACACUUCCUUUCCUCUCAUUGGAAGUAAUCUAACAGCUCAUGGCCCUGCAGUUUUCUCAGGCUCAGUUCCCUCCCAAUAAGAAAAAGAAGAGAAAAUAAUGUAGACAAAUUGCUGUCUGUAGGCAGCAAAUCUGAAUCAAGGUCCUUCCCUUCAAGAAAGAGAAGUAGAAUAAGGAAAAAGGCUAUUGAACUUUUGUGAUUGAUCGAGAACCAUACAUCUAGAUUUAUCUGUAUUCUAGAAUUAGAAAAAAUCUUCAGUGCACAGAGUUAAAUACUGCAAUGCUUUCUACAAUAUUCAAAACCACCAGAGAUUAGGAGCACUUCACUCAAUGGGGCUUGUGCCCCUAAAAACAACCAACCAACCAAAAAAAAACAGGUUCCUGAGAUUGAUCUGUCUCGACAUUUUUGUUUUCUAUCCCGGUACUAUCACUACGCACUUGGACUGUAACACAAACCGAAAAAAAUCAACACAUAAAAAAUAUGACCGGGAUGGACACGGUGGCUCAUGCCUGUAAUCCCAGCACUUUGGGAGGCCGAGGGUUCUUCUGUUACCCAGGCUGUAGGGCAAUGGCACAAUCAUG
RNAcentral lists this long non-coding RNA (960 nucleotides) under Homo sapiens (human). RNAcentral's name for it is "novel transcript". The record is from RNAcentral. Lineage: Eukaryota; Metazoa; Chordata; Mammalia; Primates; Hominidae.